Molecule: ribosomal RNA, 435 nt
Filed under: uncultured bacterium
Lineage: Bacteria
Description: partial 16S ribosomal RNA
Rfam family: Bacterial small subunit ribosomal RNA
Source: RNAcentral
AACGAACGCUGGCGGCAUGCCUAACACAUGCAAGUCGAACGAUUGCCUUCGGGUGAUAGUGGCGCACGGGUGCGUAACGCGUGGGAAUCUGCCCUUAGGUUCGGAAUAACAGCUGGAAACGGCUGCUAAUACCGGAUGAUAUCGCGAGAUCAAAGAUUUAUCGCCUGAGGAUGAGCCCGCGUUGGAUUAGGUAGUUGGUGGGGUAAAGGCCUACCAAGCCGACGAUCCAUAGCUGGUCUGAGAGGAUGAUCAGCCACACUGGGACUGAGACACGGCCCAGACUCCUACGGGGGGCAGAAGUGGGGAAUAUUGGACAAUGGGCGCAAGCCUGACCCAGCAAUGCCGUGUGAGUGAUGAAGGCCCUAGGGUUGUAAAGCUCUUUUACCCGGGAAGAUAAUGACUGUGCCGGAAGAAUAGGCCCGGGCUAACUCGGUG